Molecule: ribosomal RNA, 460 nt
Filed under: uncultured bacterium
Lineage: Bacteria
Description: partial 16S ribosomal RNA
Rfam family: Bacterial small subunit ribosomal RNA
Source: RNAcentral
CCUACGUGAGGCAGCAGUGAGGAAUAUUGGUCAAUGGGCGCGAGCCUGAACCAGCCAAGUAGCGUGAAGGAUGACUGCCCUACGGGUUGUAAACUUCUUUUAUAAAGGAAUAAAGUGAGGCACGUGUGCCUUUUUGUAUGUAUUUUAUGAAUACGGAUCGGCUAACUCCGUGCCAGCAGCCGCGGUAAUACGGAGGAUCCGAGCGUUAUCCGGAUUUAUUGGGUUUAAAGGGAGCGUAGAUGGGUUGUUAAGUCAGUUGUGAAAGUUUGCGGCUCAACCGUAAAAUUGCAAUUGAUACUGGCAGCCUUGAGUACAGUUGAGGUAGGCGGAAUUCGUGGUGUAGCGGUGAAAUGCUUAGAUAUAACGAAGAACUACGAUUGCGAAGGCAGCCUACUAAACUGCCACUGACAUUGAUGCGCGAAAGUGUGGGUAUCAAACAGGAUUAGAUACCCUUGUAGUC